AGGAUGAACGCUGGCGGUCUGCUUAACACAUGCAAGUCGAACGGAGUACCUCGGUACUUAGUGGCGGACGGGUGAGUAACGCGUGAGAAUCUGCCCUUAGGUCGGGGACAACCAUUGGAAACGAUGGCUAAUACCGGAUAAGCCGAGAGGUAAAAGAUUAAUUGCCUAGGGAAGAGCUCGCGUCUGAUUAGCUAGUUGGUGAGGUAAAGGCUCACCAAGGCAUCGAUCAGUAGCUGGUCUGAGAGGAUGAUCAGCCACACUGGGACUGAGACACGGCCCAAACUCCUACGGGAGGCAGCAGUGGGGAAUAUUGGACAAUGGGCGCAAGCCUGAUCCAGCCAUGCCGCGUGAGUGAUGAAGGCCCUAGGGUUGUAAAGCUCUUUGUGCGGGAAGAUAAUGACGGUACCGCAAGAAUAAGCACCGGCUAACUACGUGCCAGCAGCCGC
Molecule: ribosomal RNA, 446 nt
Filed under: uncultured bacterium
Lineage: Bacteria
Description: SSU rRNA
Rfam family: Bacterial small subunit ribosomal RNA
Source: RNAcentral